This 492-nucleotide ribosomal RNA is filed under the name uncultured bacterium. RNAcentral's name for it is "partial 16S ribosomal RNA". It matches the Rfam family "Bacterial small subunit ribosomal RNA", at positions 29 to 507 of the family's 1533-position model. The record is from RNAcentral.
AGUGAACGCUGGCGGCAGGCCUAACACAUGCAAGUCGAACGGCAGCACAGUAAGAGCUUGCUCUUACGGGUGGCGAGUGGCGGACGGGUGAGGAAUACAUCGGAAUCUACUUUUUCGUGGGGGAUAACGUAGGGAAACUUACGCUAAUACCGCAUACGACCUACGGGUGAAAGCAGGGGAUCUUCGGACCUUGCGCGAAUGAAUGAGCCGAUGUCGGAUUAGCUAGUUGGCGGGGUAAAGGCCCACCAAGGCGACGAUACGUAGCUGGUCUGAGAGGAUGAUCAGCCACACUGGAACUGGGACACGGUCCAGACUCCUACGGGAGGCAGCAGUGGGGAAUAUUGGACAAUGGGCGCAAGCCUGAUCCAGCCAUACCGCGUGGGUGAAGAAGGCCUUCGGGUUGUAAAGCCCUUUUGUUGGGAAAGAAAAGCAGCAGGUUAAUACCCCGCUGUUCUGACGGUACCCAAAGAAUAAGCACCGGCUAACUACGUG